CCUACGGGUGGCUGCAGUAGGGAAUAUUGCUCAAUGGGGGAAACCCUGAAGCAGCAACGCCGCGUGGAGGAUGAAGGUUCUCGGAUUGUAAACUCCUUUUGUUAGAGAAGAUAAUGACGGUAUCUAACGAAUAAGCCCCGGCUAACUCCGUGCCAGCAGCCGCGGUAAUACGGAGGGUGCAAGCGUUACUCGGAUUGACUGGGCGUAAAGAGCGCGUAGGCGGGAUAGCAAGUCAGUUGUGAAAUCCUCGGGCUUAACCAUAGAACUGCAUUUGAAACUGUUAUUCUAGAGUAUAGGAGAGGUAGGCGGAAUUCUUGGUGUAGGGGUAAAAUCCGUAGAGAUCAAGAGGAACACCGAUUGCGAAGGCGACCUGCUAGAAUGUAACUGACGUUGAUGCGCGAAAGCGUGGGGAGCAAACAGGAUUAGAUACCCUUGUAGUC
RNAcentral lists this ribosomal RNA (440 nucleotides) under uncultured bacterium. Its description in RNAcentral is "partial 16S ribosomal RNA". It matches the Rfam family "Bacterial small subunit ribosomal RNA", at positions 338 to 795 of the family's 1533-position model. The record is from RNAcentral.